Salvia splendens (bonfire salvia) is the source of this 453-nucleotide long non-coding RNA. RefSeq lists it as uncharacterized. The transcript has 2 exons. NCBI's taxonomy places the organism in Eukaryota, Viridiplantae, Streptophyta, Magnoliopsida, Lamiales, Lamiaceae. The record is from RefSeq and is a predicted model, not a curated record.
UUGUAUUAUCUUUGAUAUGACAAUUCACAAGCAUUAGUUUCAGGUGCAGAUUGUGGAAGGAUUAUAUCAGUAUCAGGAGAUCAUCAUACCUGAAAAGGACUUUUCUGGACAGUAAGAUUAUGCUAUCUGAUACUAGGAACCUAUGCAUCGUGCUGAUUGGCCGCGGCUACACGUGUUUGCAUAAUUGUAUUGGCUGAACGAAACCGGAAUGAUAAAAAUGACUAUGGGAUGCUAUGCUACUAUUCGGUGCAGGAAAGUUUGAGAUUAGAGUUUCUUUUUUUUUCACACCACGAAUGAUCAUAUUUCAAUAUCUUCUCUCCAUCUUUUAGUUUAAGAAAAGGCAGUAUUGGUUGCUAUGAUUCUUGUGUUAUGGCCUAGGUUCCUAGUAUUCCUUAUCGAUUGAUAAUACCAGUGGUAUAUUAUCAUCAAAGCAUCCGAUCUUGCAAGUAUCUA